Molecule: long non-coding RNA, 553 nt
Organism: Pyrgilauda ruficollis (rufous-necked snowfinch)
Lineage: Eukaryota; Metazoa; Chordata; Aves; Passeriformes; Passeridae
Exons: 3
Source: RefSeq, a predicted model, not a curated record
AUAUGAGCCUUCCAAGUCAUGCAAUCUCUGCCAUCCUUCUGUGGGAUCACCACUGCCAGACAAGUCAACUGCAAUGCAAAGCCAAGGAGCAGGAAACCCACUUACUUUCAUGUUUGGCUUUCCCUGGGAGAAGUUGGAGGACGCGGCGGAAUUUCUUUCUUCUUUGUAUCUGUGUUGGCUAAAGCAGGACAGAGGAGCUUGAAAAGGCUCGCCCUCCUCAAGGAACGCUAUCUGAUUCGUAAGCAUUCCUAGAGGUUAAGGCUGGUGACUAUCAAGAAAGCAAAUACUUCACGCAAGGCUUAUGAUAAUGAAUUGAAUAAUAAAAAACAAUCAUAAAACAUCUCCAUAUUGCAUCCUGGAGAUUCACUAGGAUGAUUUUCACUAAAUGGAUUUUUACGUGGAAUGGAUUUUUUUUCCAAAGUUCAACGAGAGUCAAGACUACAUCCGUACAUGUUUGGGAGCCAAAAAUUGUAAGUAAAGGAGAAAACAUCUGUGUGGGGAAGUUUUUGAAUAAUUGCACUGUUUGUUUAAUGAUAUAGCUGAUGUUAUGAGU